Non-coding RNA from Leptonychotes weddellii (Weddell seal), 175 nucleotides. The record is from RefSeq and is a predicted model, not a curated record. Lineage: Eukaryota; Metazoa; Chordata; Mammalia; Carnivora; Phocidae.
CACUGAACAAUGUUAUCAAGUUCAUCCGUGUUGUAGCAGGCAACGAGAAUGGAGCCAGCUACCUGCUUGGAUGGAGGGAAGAGGAAGGGGAGAAAAAACUGAGAACAAAGUUGAAGCCUCAAAAUAUUAUCCAUUCACCUUAUUCAUUACAACCAAUAAAUUGCUUUUCUAUGAA